RNAcentral lists this ribosomal RNA (1312 nucleotides) under uncultured marine bacterium. RNAcentral's name for it is "16S ribosomal RNA". It matches the Rfam family "Bacterial small subunit ribosomal RNA", at positions 33 to 1392 of the family's 1533-position model. The record is from RNAcentral.
ACGCUGGCGGCACGCCUAACACAUGCAAGUCGAACGAAGUAGCAAUACUUAGUGGCAGACGGGUGAGUAACAUGUAGGUAUCUGCCCUUUGGCCUGGAAUAACACGAGGAAACUUGUGCUAAUACCGGAUAAGUCUUUACGGAGAAAGCUUUAUGCACCAUUGGAUGAGCCUGCACUUGAUUAGUUUGUUGGUAGGGUAAUGGCCUACCAAGACUAUGAUCAAUAGCUGAUUUGAGAGGAUGAUCAGCCACAUUGGGACUGAGACACGGCCCAAACUCCUACGGGAGGCAGCAGUGGGGAAUCUUGCACAAUGGAGGAAACUCUGAUGCAGCGAUGCCGCGUGAGUGAAGAAGGCCUUUGGGUUGUAAAGCUCUUUCGUCGGGGAAGAAAAUGACUGUACCCGAAUAAGAAGGUCCGGCUAACUUCGUGCCAGCAGCCGCGGUAAUACGAAGGGACCUAGCGUAGUUCGGAAUUACUGGGCUUAAAGAGUUCGUAGGUGGUUAAAAAAGUUGGUGGUGAAAUCCCAGAGCUUAACUCUGGAACUGCCAUCAAAACUUUUUAGCUAGAGUAUGAUAGAGGAAAGCAGAAUUUCUAGUGUAGAGGUGAAAUUCGUAGAUAUUAGAAAGAAUACCGAUUGCGAAGGCAGCUUUCUGGAUCAUUACUGACACUGAGGAACGAAAGCAUGGGUAGCGAAGAGGAUUAGAUACCCUCGUAGUCCAUGCCGUAAACGAUGUGUGUUAGACGUUGGAAAUUUAUUUUCAGUGUCGCAGCGAAAGCGAUAAACACACCGCCUGGGGAGUACGACCGCAAGGUUAAAACUCAAAUGAAUUGACGGGGACCCGCACAAGUAGUGGGGCAUGUGGUUUAAUUCGAAGAUACGCGCAGAACCUUACCAACACUUGACAUGUUCGUCGCGACUCUAAGAGAUUAGAGUUUUCGGUUCGGCCGGACGAAACACAGGUGCUGCAUGGCUGUCGUCAGCUCGUGUCGUGAGAUGUUGGGUUAAGUCCCGCAACGAGCGCAACCCUCACUUUUAGUUGCCAUCAUUAAGUUGGGCACUCUGAAAGAACUGCCAGUGAUAAGCUGGAGGAAGGUGGGGAUGACGUCAAGUCCUCAUGGCCCUUACGUGUUGGGCUACACACGUGCUACAAUGGUAUCUACAACAGGAAGCAAAACAGCGAUGUUAAGCAAAUCCCGAAAAGAUACCUCAGUUCGGAUUGCACUCUGCAACUCGAGUGCAUGAAGCUGGAAUUACUAGUAAUCGUGGAUCAGCGUGCCACGGUGAAUGCGUUCCCGGGUCUUGUACUCACCG